This 221-nucleotide ribosomal RNA is filed under the name uncultured bacterium. RNAcentral describes it as "partial 16S ribosomal RNA". It matches the Rfam family "Bacterial small subunit ribosomal RNA", at positions 118 to 351 of the family's 1533-position model. The record is from RNAcentral.
UGGGAACCUUCCCUAUGGUUCGGAAUAGCUCAGGGGAAAACUUGUGCUAAUACCGGAUAAGCCCUUACGGGGAAAGAUUUAUCGCCGAGAGAUCGGCCCGCGUCUGAUUAGCUAGUUGGUGAGGUAACGGCUCACCAAGGCGACGAUCAGUAGCUGGUCUGAGAGGAUGAUCAGCCACACGUGGGACUGAGACACGGCCCAGACCUCCGUACGGGAGGCAG